This is a long non-coding RNA of Oncorhynchus tshawytscha (Chinook salmon), 795 nucleotides long. The record is from Ensembl. Lineage: Eukaryota; Metazoa; Chordata; Actinopteri; Salmoniformes; Salmonidae.
AGGACAACAACCACACGAGCCACUGCCUGUUCACCCUGCUAUCAUCCAGAAGGCGAGAUUUUAGUUUGGUAACAGAGACCUGUAUGGAGAUCAAACUGUUUCAUCGAUGAGAAAAUUAGCAAGAAUGUCGGUCAAAGUCCAUCUCGCUCGAUAUUCUUCCACUGCCGGCCACUAUCAAAUCCUGUCCUUCCCUCAGUGGAAGAGUUGAGCUCUCCAACCGCAUCCAUCCAUGAUGAGCAUGUCCUGCACUGAAACCCGCUGAUCACCUCAACCCCUGUCCUGCACUGAAGCCUCUGAACACCUCAACCCCUGACCUGCACUGAAGUCAGGCCUCUCGAACACCUCAACUUAACAAUGUCUUAUAACCCCAUUCAGUCACUGCUGCGAUCCCUUCCCAACACUGUGAGCAAAGAACAGCUUUAUGAAUACCUCCAAACACACACACACACACACACACCAUCAAGUCUUGAGUGAACUGAAACACUACAUGCCAGCUUUACGAAUGCCAUCAGAAGAAAAGUCGCUAAGGAGCUUAGUAUGCAGAAAGCCGUUUAGUGCUCAUUGUUAUUUCUGGAUACUGUGAGAAAAAGUGCCAGAGGCAAUUAAGGCCAUUGCCUUUGAGUGGCUGUGUGGUCACUUGUUUUUAUGACGAGUCUGAAGCAGUAAAAUAGUACAUAAUGAUGUCUGGUUUGCGUAACAAACACACACACAUACACAUACACACACACACAUACACAUACACACACACACACACACACGCACAUACUCACCAGUAAGAGCCAAGUCCUGAGUGAA